CGUUGUAUUACCAAUUGGUAAGCACAAAGAAUUAUCGUGUAAAGCAACAGAUACUCAAUAUGUGAUGUUAAUACGAAGGAAUCAGAAUCAAGAGAUGCCGUAGAAACGAUCUUACCAAAAUUAUUGUUAUAAAACUGGCUGCUCCCAAAUCCUCUAGCCUCCCAGUCCCUGCCCUUUCGAGCUCAUCUGGGUUUCUACCACAUCAAAGUCCGUUGAGCAUUACUCCCUCAGAGUUUGAAUUAUGGCAAUAGAAACAAAUUUGGAAGAUUUAUUAGGCAUCAAUUUACUGGUUAUGAGAAGCAGUUUUACCUUCCUGAAGACGACCAUAGUCCUGUUGAAGCAAGCGCCAAGCAACAAGUACUAAGAAGGACGAUGGCUGUCCAGUAAUCAGCCUAUCGAGACUGUCAAUCACCAUCUCACUCUGUGCCUUGUAUCCUUCAACAGCCAUCUGCUUUUCACUGAGGAGCUCAGUGGAACGAUCUGAUGGUUGGCCAUCAAAUUUUCCAAUGGAAGAACUCUCCGGUACUUCAUCCUUUAAAUGUGAAUGAGGAUUGCCUGCUAACUUUUUUGCUUUUUUUUUCAACUUAGCUUCAGCAACAGCUACUGGAUCCAAACACUCCCCAGCAUGAUAAGUUGAAGCCCAAAGCAGAGGAUUUUGUUUCUCAUCUGCAAAACUCCUCAUCAUAUGCCGAAUUGAGUCAGUUGAUAUUACUGUUGUAAUUCCUAACCUGCUACCCUGUCAGAAGAAAAAGUGCAGGUGUAAUUGAGUUUAAACAUUCUAAAACAAAUUAUACUUUCAACUAGAACUACAUGUCAACUGUAAAAGCAUUAAUAGUGCAACAAAAGGUUGUCCCUA
Cucumis melo (muskmelon) is the source of this 856-nucleotide long non-coding RNA. RefSeq lists it as uncharacterized. NCBI's taxonomy places the organism in Eukaryota, Viridiplantae, Streptophyta, Magnoliopsida, Cucurbitales, Cucurbitaceae. The record is from RefSeq and is a predicted model, not a curated record. The transcript is spliced from 2 exons.